GCACAGGUGGCCGAGUGGUUAAUGGCAGCAGACUGUAAAUCUGCCGGGUUAUGCCCUACGGAGGUUCGAACCCUCCCCUGUGCACCA
This 87-nucleotide transfer RNA is filed under the name Granulicella aggregans. Its description in RNAcentral is "tRNA-Tyr". It matches the Rfam family "tRNA". Rfam says of the family: Transfer RNA (tRNA) molecules are approximately 80 nucleotides in length. Their secondary structure includes four short double-helical elements and three loops (D, anti-codon, and T loops). Further hydrogen bonds mediate the characteristic L-shaped molecular structure. tRNAs have two regions of fundamental functional importance: the anti-codon, which is responsible for specific mRNA codon recognition, and the 3' end, to which the tRNAs corresponding amino acid is attached (by aminoacyl-tRNA synthetases). tRNAs cope with the degeneracy of the genetic code in two manners: having more than one tRNA (with a specific anti-codon) for a particular amino acid; and 'wobble' base-pairing, i.e. permitting non-standard base-pairing at the 3rd anti-codon position. Lineage: Bacteria; Pseudomonadati; Acidobacteriota; Terriglobia; Terriglobales; Acidobacteriaceae. The record is from RNAcentral.